RNAcentral lists this ribosomal RNA (253 nucleotides) under uncultured bacterium. RNAcentral describes it as "partial 16S ribosomal RNA". It matches the Rfam family "Bacterial small subunit ribosomal RNA", at positions 524 to 776 of the family's 1533-position model. The record is from RNAcentral.
UACAGGGGGGGCAAGCGUUGUUCGGAAUUACUGGGCGUAAAGGGUCUGUAGGUGGCCAACUAAGUCAGACGUGAAAUCCCUCAGCUUAACUGGGGAACUGCGUCUGAUACUGGAUGGCUCGAGUGUGGGAGAGGAAUGCGGAAUUCCAGGUGUAGAGGUGAAAUUCGUAGAUAUCGGGAGGAACACCGGUGGCGAAGGCGGCGACCUGGGUAGAUACUGACGCUGAGGCGCGAAAGCGUGGGGAGCAAACAGG